GCGCCCGUGGUGGAAUGGUAGACACACGAGACUUAAAAUCUCACGAGGGUAUCCUCAUGUCGGUUCGAGUCCGACCGGGCGCACCA
Molecule: transfer RNA, 86 nt
Filed under: Acinetobacter sp.
Lineage: Bacteria; Pseudomonadati; Pseudomonadota; Gammaproteobacteria; Moraxellales; Moraxellaceae
Description: tRNA-Leu
Rfam family: tRNA
About the family: Transfer RNA (tRNA) molecules are approximately 80 nucleotides in length. Their secondary structure includes four short double-helical elements and three loops (D, anti-codon, and T loops).
Source: RNAcentral